GACGAACGCUGGCGGCGUGCUUAACACAUGCAAGUCGAACGGAAAGGCCCUGCGUUUGUGGGGUGCUCGAGUGGCGAACGGGUGAGUAACACGUGAGUAACCUGCCCUUGACUUUGGGAUAACUUCAGGAAACUGGGGCUAAUACCGGAUAGGAGCUCCUGCUGCAUGGUGGGGGUUGGAAAGUUUCGGCGGGUGGGGAUGGACUCGCGGCUUAUCAGCUUGUUGGUGGGGUAGUGGCUUACCAAGGCUUUGACGGGUAGCCGGCCUGAGAGGGUGACCGGCCACAUGGGGACUGCGAUACGGCCCAGACUCCUACGGGAGGCAGCAGUGGGGAAUAUUGCACAAUGAGCGGAAGCCUGAUGCAGCAACGCCGCGUGCGGGAUGACGGCUUUCGGGUUGUAAACCGCUUUCGCCUGUGACGAAGCGUGAGUGACGGUAAUGGGUAAAGAAGCACCGGCUAACUACGUG
This 468-nucleotide ribosomal RNA is filed under the name uncultured bacterium. RNAcentral's name for it is "partial 16S ribosomal RNA". It matches the Rfam family "Bacterial small subunit ribosomal RNA", at positions 28 to 507 of the family's 1533-position model. The record is from RNAcentral.